This 467-nucleotide ribosomal RNA is filed under the name uncultured bacterium. RNAcentral's name for it is "bacterial SSU rRNA". It matches the Rfam family "Bacterial small subunit ribosomal RNA", at positions 29 to 506 of the family's 1533-position model. The record is from RNAcentral.
AUGAACGCUGGCGGCGUGUCUAAGGCAUGCAAGUCGAACGGAUUCUAGUGGUAGCAAUACUACAAAAAAUUAGUGGCAAACGGGAGCGUAACACACUGGUAACCUACCCCGAAGAUCGGAACAACUUGCCGAAAGGCGAGCUAAUUCCGGAUACGAUCCCGAGAUAUAAGUCUCGGGAUGAAAGCAGCAAUGCACUUCGGGAGGGGCCUAUGGCUCAUCAGCUAGUUGGUAGGGUAACGGCCUACCAAGGCUACGACGAGUAGCGGGUGUGGGAGCACGAUCCGCCUCACAGGGACUGAGACACUGCCCUGACACCUACGGGUGGCUGCAGUCAAGAAUCUUCCCCAAUGGACGAAAGUCUGAGGGAGCGACGCCGCGUGCAGGAAGAAGCUCUUCGGGGCGUAAACUGCUUUUAUUCGGGAACAAGUCAUGAGGGUACCGAAUGAAUAAGUACCUGCUAAACUCGU